This 506-nucleotide ribosomal RNA is filed under the name uncultured bacterium. Its description in RNAcentral is "partial 16S ribosomal RNA". It matches the Rfam family "Bacterial small subunit ribosomal RNA", at positions 29 to 523 of the family's 1533-position model. The record is from RNAcentral.
AUUGAACGCUGGCGGCAGGCCUAACACAUGCAAGUCGGACGGUAGCACAGAGGAGCUUGCUCCUCGGGUGACGAGUGGCGUACGGGUGAGUAAUGUCUGGGGAUCUGCCCGAUAGAGGGGGAUAACCACUGGAAACGGUGGCUAAUACCGCAUAACGUCGCAAGACCAAAGAGGGGGACCUUCGGGCCUCCCACUAUCGGAUGAACCCAGAUGGGAUUAGCUAGUAGGCGGGGUAACGGCCCACCUAGGCGACGAUCCCUAGCUGGUCUGAGAGGAUGACCAGCCACACUGGAACUGAGACACGGUCCAGACUCCUACGGGAGGCAGCAGUGGGGAAUAUUGCACAAUGGGCGCAAGCCUGAUGCAGCCAUGCCGCGUGUAUGAAGAAGGCCUUCGGGUUGUAAAGUACUUUCAGCGGGGAGGAAGGCGAUGUGGUUAAUAACCGCAUUGAUUGACGUUACCCGCAGAAGAAGCACCGGCUAACUCCGUGCCAGCCGCCGCAGUAA